UAUCGCCGCUGCCACUACCAUAGUCGUAGCCACGACCGCAGCUGCUGUCACAACCGCAGCCCCUUCCACUGCACUACUUCCUUCCUCCCUUCUCUCGUUCCUACUUUUUCUUUCCCAAACACAACUGCCGCAGACACAGCCGCCACCACCGCAGCCGCAAUCACGGCCACAGCCCAUUUUUUUUUUCCCUUUCCUUUCUUUCUCUUUCCCAAAAGCAGCUACUGCAGCCACCACCGCUG
This 239-nucleotide long non-coding RNA is filed under the name Musa acuminata (dwarf banana). Its description in RNAcentral is "long non-coding RNA (MACU_LNC001927)". Lineage: Eukaryota; Viridiplantae; Streptophyta; Magnoliopsida; Zingiberales; Musaceae. The record is from RNAcentral.